UAGGGAAUCUUCGGCAAUGGGGGCAACCCUGACCGAGCAACGCCGCGUGAGUGAAGAAGGUUUUCGGAUCGUAAAGCUCUGUUGUAAGUCAAGAACGGGUGUGAGAGUGGAAAGUUCACACUGUGACGGUAGCUUACCAGAAAGGGACGGCUAACUACGUGCCAGCAGCCGCGGUAAUACGUAGGUCCCGAGCGUUGUCCGGAUUUAUUGGGCGUAAAGCGANCGCAGGCGGUUUGAUAAGU
This 242-nucleotide ribosomal RNA is filed under the name uncultured bacterium. RNAcentral describes it as "partial 16S ribosomal RNA". It matches the Rfam family "Bacterial small subunit ribosomal RNA", at positions 355 to 588 of the family's 1533-position model. The record is from RNAcentral.